CUCUUGCUUACCUUGGGUCGACCCAACUCACUGUUCAUUUGUGCUGUUUUUGCAGGAGUGUGCCAGAUGAUUCCUCGAUGUGCCGGGGUCGACCCAAUCAACCUAUGGGUCGACUCAAUCCACACUUUGCUGCAUUCUUAAGGUUAGAUUCAUUCAAAUGAACAAGACCAUAUAUAUAUUCUCAAUUUAAGCAUAUGUACUGAGAGUAAUAACCUUAUAAAUGAAGUAUCAAUUUAACUUAUAGCAUGCUUUAAAUAAUAACUUGUUAAUCAUCAAAAUAACACUAUCAUCCUCAG
This 296-nucleotide long non-coding RNA is filed under the name Phoenix dactylifera (date palm). Its description in RNAcentral is "long non-coding RNA (PDAC_LNC017038)". Lineage: Eukaryota; Viridiplantae; Streptophyta; Magnoliopsida; Arecales; Arecaceae. The record is from RNAcentral.